RNAcentral lists this ribosomal RNA (939 nucleotides) under uncultured archaeon. RNAcentral describes it as "bacterial SSU rRNA". It matches the Rfam family "Archaeal small subunit ribosomal RNA", at positions 458 to 1395 of the family's 1478-position model. The record is from RNAcentral.
CCAGCCGCCGCGGUAAAACCCAGCACCUCAAGUGGUCAGGAUGAUUAUUGGGCCUAAAGCAUCCGUAGCUUGUUUUGUAAGUUUUCGGUUAAAGCCAUGCGCUCAACGUAUGGGCUGCCGGGAAUACUGCAUAACUGGGAAGUGGGAGAGGUAGACGGUACUCGGUAGGAAGGGGUAAAAUCCUUUGAUCUAUUGAUGACCACCUGUGGCGAAGGCGGUCUACCAGAACACGUUCGACGGUGAGGGAUGAAAGCUGGGGGAGCAAACCGGAUUAGAUACCCGGGUAGUCCCAGCUGUAAACUAUGCAAACUCAGUGACGCAUUGGCUUGUGGCCAAUGCAGUGCUGCAGGGAAGCCGUUAAGUUUGCCGCCUGGGAAGUACGUACGCAAGUAUGAAACUUAAAGGAAUUGGCGGGGGAGCACCACAAGGGGUGAAGCCUGCGGUUCAAUUGGAGUCAACGCCAGAAAUCUUACCCGGAGAGACAGCAGAAUGAAGGUCAAGCUGAAGACUUUACCAGACAAGCUGAGAGGUGGUGCAUGGCCGUCGCCAGCUCGUGCCGUGAGAUGUCCUGUUAAGUCAGGUAACGAGCGGGAUCCCUGCCUCUAGUUGCCACCAUUACUCUCAGGAGUAGUGGGGCGAAUUAGCGGGACCGCCGCAGUUAAUGCGGAGGAAGGAAGGGGCCACGGCAGGUCAGUAUGCCCCGAAACUCUGGGGCCACACGCGGGCUGCAAUGGUAGUGACAAUUGGUUCCGAAUCCGAAAGGAGGAGGUAAUCCCUAAACGCUACCACAGUUAUGACUGAGGGCUGCAACUCGCCCUCACGAAUAUGGAAUCCCUAGUAACUGCGUGUCAUUAUCGCGCGGUGAAUACGUCCCUGCUCCUUGCACACACCGCCCGUCGUUUCAUUGAAGUUUGCUUUUAGCGAGGUGACGUCUGAUUG